AUGGGCGUCAGCCUGAUGCAGCGACGCCGCGUGAGGGAUGACGGCCUUCGGGUUGUAAACCUCUUUCUGGAGGGACGAAGCGAAAGUGACGGUACCUGCAGAAGAAGCACCGGCCAACUACGUGCCAGCAGCCGCGGUAAUACGUAGGGUGCAAGCGUUGUCCGGAAUUACUGGGCGUAAAGAGCUCGUAGGCGGUUUGUCGCGUCGUCUGUGAAAACUCGAGGCUCAACCUCGAGCUUGCAGGCGAUACGGGCAGACUUGAGUACUGCAGGGGAGACUGGAAUUCCUGGUGUAGCGGUGAAAUGCGCAGAUAUCAGGAGGAACACCGGUGGCGAAGGCGGGUCUCUGGGCAGUAACUGACGCUGAGGAGCGAAAGCGUGGGUAGCGAACAGGAUUAGAUACCCUGGUAGUCCACGCCGUAAACGGUGGGCGCUAGGUGUGGGUUUCCUUCCACGGGAUCCGUGCCGUAGCUAACGCAUUAAGCGCCCCGCCUGGGGAGUACGGCCGCAAGGCUAAAACUCAAAGGGAUUGACGGGG
This 537-nucleotide ribosomal RNA is filed under the name uncultured Rhodococcus sp. Its description in RNAcentral is "bacterial SSU rRNA". It matches the Rfam family "Bacterial small subunit ribosomal RNA", at positions 371 to 918 of the family's 1533-position model. The record is from RNAcentral. Lineage: Bacteria; Bacillati; Actinomycetota; Actinomycetes; Mycobacteriales; Nocardiaceae.